This 68-nucleotide transfer RNA is filed under the name Dendrohyrax dorsalis (Western tree hyrax). RNAcentral describes it as "tRNA-Thr". It matches the Rfam family "tRNA". Rfam says of the family: Transfer RNA (tRNA) molecules are approximately 80 nucleotides in length. Their secondary structure includes four short double-helical elements and three loops (D, anti-codon, and T loops). The record is from RNAcentral. Lineage: Eukaryota; Metazoa; Chordata; Mammalia; Hyracoidea; Procaviidae.
GCUCUUGUAGUAUAAUACCAAUACAGUGGUCUUGUAAACCACCAACGAAACCAAACCUUCCAAGAGCA